Molecule: long non-coding RNA, 2446 nt
Organism: Pezoporus flaviventris
Lineage: Eukaryota; Metazoa; Chordata; Aves; Psittaciformes; Psittacidae
Exons: 2
Source: RefSeq, a predicted model, not a curated record
CUGUGAACUAAGGAAAUAAUGGUACCGUAUCUUAAUAUUUUGGAAAUAGAAACUUCUUGCUAAGGAUGCUCUGUCACCAUUCCCUGCCAUAAGGGGGGAAGGCUUGUGUAGGAAAUGCUGCCUUCUGGGACUGCAGAUUUUUCCAUGCCUUUUUAGCUGAAUGUAAAUGUGAAUGUUGGUUAUUAGGUAUAACAGUACAGAAAAUAAAAAUAUUUAGGUCUACAACCUUGUGUUCAACAAAGAUUGAAAAGGAUGUAGACUUGUUAAAAGUAGUGGGAUUUUAUGACAGGCCACAAUUAAACACUGUGUACUGAAUGUAGAAAAGCAUUUACUGUAUGCUAAAAACUCUCUGCUGUACCUGCUCUGAAUAUAUGUUGGGAGCUUUGUUUUGAAAGCUGUCAGCUUUUUAUUUUCAUAGGUAUUGCAUCCACUUUAUUAUUUUUACUACUGCAAUUGUUUUGUUAAUCCUCAGUGUUACACAAUUUAAAAUACACAAAUUAAUUAUUCUAAGCUGGGUGUAAUUUUUACAUAUUUAACUGCGAACGGGAUACUCUUAUCAAUAUUGUAGAUGCAUUACAGAGAUUUUGAGUGACUAAUCAAAUUUACAGCUUUAUGGCAUAGGUUCAUCAAUUGAGCAUAUAAGCAGGCUAUUAAUGUUAUCUUAUUUACUAAGCAUUUAUGUACAUACUAAGCUAAACAGAUUCAGUGACUGAGAUGCAAGUGUGUAAAAUUAGGGACUAUGCAUUCGUCUUGCAGGUGACACUGGUGAGCUGAUCUUUUCACCUGGGAUCCACCAUGAAAAGAUGUCUGAUGAUUAAGGAAGAGUUGGAUUUUCACUGCUCAAAAAGUUAAAAGAUGUAGUAAGAGCUACUAUCGUAAUAACAGCAAGUAUUAGAAUCUCUUGUACCUGCCCCACCUCUGUACCCAUUAUGAGAUAUAACAAAACCUGAGUCUGAGUCAUUAGUCUCCUGAGGAGCUGGAAUUUAAUCACCUGGAUGCUUAACAGUCUUAUGUGGGAUCAUCAAAUGGCUAAGGAUCUGACUUCAGCUGUUCAGAGAUAAACUUCAGGUGUGGAGAUAUUUGAUUAACUGGUUAGUCCUGAAAAGUGGAAGGAAGAAGGCUACACCGAGUUCGAAUGACUUUCAGUCUUUGUGUUGGGUUGUUUACAUCUUUACAAGGUGCUAAUUGUCUCUUACCUGUGUGUAGUUAAGGCAGAUGAUUGGCAUCUAUUUCAGUCUCUUGCAAGUGUGUCUGCAGACACAAGAUCUAAGCAAGCUGCAUAUAGUUAGGUCCUGGUUAGCACUUCUUUUCUUAAAUCACAUUAGUUUAAGACUGAGUAACUUCUCCUUGAAGACAGAACCUUUUAGCCUUAAAUAUGAAAUGGAAAUGUUGAAAGUUUAAAAAAAAACUGUAUUUUUGACUUUUCAAUGGAAAACUAAUUGAUAUUGAACCAAUGCAUGUGUUCUCACUAAUUUCUCUGAAAAGAAACUGCUGCAGGUUUAAUACUAGAUAAAUAAUAUAUACCUGCAAUAAACUCUAGUGGAUGCAAAGCACUCUGUAACUGUGUGCUGUCGAAUUGUUCACCCAUACCUAUUCAUGGUUAACAUGUCUAAUUCAUGAUAAAAUAUAGACGUACUCAACUGUGUGUGAUUAUGUCAUGUGGUUAGUAGGAGCCAUGUUGCCAUGAGCAGUGCUGCUCAGGAGGGCAGUAGAGCAAUAGCUGCUACUAUUGAAUCUAAUUUCUUCUAGAAUAAAGAGUGUUUUAAUCAGCAGUGAUAACUGGAUAGACACCAUGUUGUAAGUGGUGUACAAUGUUGAAAUGGAUAUGACAACUACGGCCAAAGUGGUGAUCAGUACUUACCCUUACUGAGGGUUUGGAAGAUUUUUUUGGAAAAGAGGGGGUUUACGCAAUGCAUAGGCUUACGAACUGUUUUAUAAUUAGAGAAGUUGGAAAUGCUGAAAUAAAUUUAGCACAUACCCUAUUUUUUUUCUGUUUUAGUUUCCCCAUUUAAUUUGAAGUUUUAAUCUGCUUCUUUAACACAAACACUGAACCACAUACUUGAGACAGACAAAGAUAAGGAUUAUGUAGGAGAGUAGGAGACAACAAUCAUUGCUUGUUAAUUAAUUUGUUGUCAGUAAAUGUCAUCUUCCAAAACAUGGUUUCUCAAAUUCCUCAGUUUUUAGAAGUGGAAUAGCUUUAUAUUUGUAUAAAGGUUAAAACUCUGAGAGCUAUUAUUCAUGCUGAAUAGGGGAUGUUGUAUUAGACAGAAUUUUGUUAAAUGCAGAAGUUUAAAUAAAGCUUGUUUACAGAGGUAAACACUUAGAGAAAACUAUUACUUUCUUAGAGUGCUGUACUGUUGUUUUUUUUUUUUGUAGUAAUACAGUUAAUGUAUUGCUAGUUCUAGUAUGAAAACGUGAACAUUGCUAAUAAAACAGUGUAAUUUCA